AUGACUCUGUCUCUGGGAUGGCUCUCAGCUCUGGCCGCGGGUGUUUUCUCCGCUCAUGUUUUGCAGAAACUCUGCUUCCCAUACUUUUGGACUGACCUCCUCUUUCUGCUGAAAGUGAUCAGGUACGGCGUGAAGCUGGAGCUGUUCAAGAUGACAUCCAGCGUGUGUACGGUCCUGGACAGGUUCAUUCAGCAGGCGCAACGCAUUCCCAACAAGCCGUUUAUCAUCUAUGAUGGAAGCAUCUACACCUACCGGGACAUCGAGCGACGCAGCAACAGACUCGCCAAUGUUUUCCUCGAGAGAGUGAAUUUGAGGAAAGGAGACUGCGUUGCCUUGCUCAUGAGCAACGAGCCCGACUUCCUGUGCGUUUGGUUCGGGUUGGCGAAGGUCGGCUGUUCGGUUGCUUUCCUCAACAUUAACAUCAAGUCCAAGUCUCUGCUACACUGCUUUAACAGCUGUGGAGCCAAAACUCUAAUUGUUGGUUCAGAUUUAGUGGAAUGUCUGGACGGCAUCCUAACUAGCCUGCUGGAGGACAACAUUCAGGUGUGGACCAUGAAGAGCCAGAGUGAGCACACACAGGUGCACACUCUGUUGGAUAAGAUCUAUGCUGCCUCUGACCAGCCUGUACCAGCAGAGUUACGUGCCACCUCCUCCCUCAAAUCCCCCACCCUCUACAUCUUCACCUCUGGAACAACUGGACUCCCUAAGGCUGCAGUGAUCACUCACCUCCAGAGUUUGAAGGCAGCAGCAGGUUUUUGGGCGUUUGGGGUGACUGAAGAUGACGUGAUGUACAUCCCUCUGCCACUCUACCACAGUGCAGCUUCCUUGAUCGGUAUAGGAGGAACCAUAGAGCUUGGUGCGACCUGCAUUUUGAAGAAGAAGUUCUCAGCCUCCCAGUUCUGGAAUGACUGUAGAAAACAUGAAGUGACUGUUUUCCAGUAUAUUGGUGAGCUCUGCAGAUACCUCUGCAACCAGCCUAAGAGAGAGGUGGAUAAAGUUCACAAGGUGCGAAUGGGAGUUGGGAACGGGCUACGGCAGGAUGUCUGGCGGGAGUUCCAGAGUCGCUUUGGAAACAUUAAAAUGUGCGAGGUGUAUGGCUCCACUGAAGGAAACCUGUGUUUCAUGAACCACAUCGGCAAAAUUGGAACUGUGGGCCGCUCCAACUUCUUCUACAGGUGUGCCAAGCUGGAUCUGGACCUGGACUCGGCCCCCGUCAGAGGAAAUCAGCCUCAACAACGAGCAGCAGCACCAGCAGAUGCACAGCCUCAGCCACCAACUGUGGCCUCAAUAUACCUGGAUGAAGCAACGGGAGGACAUGGAUCAUCAUCAUCAUUCAUUCCCACACCUCCAACACCCAAAGAGGCCUACAAAUCACAAUGGGGUGGCCCAAUCACCCCCAAUCGCCUUUCCAGCCCUCAUCGCACUCAAAGCAACAAAGAAUUCUGGCCCAGAUCAAACUCCUGCACCUCCUUAAACGUGAUUGCACCAGUGAUGGAGGUGGCAACAGGAGAUGGGACCUCACAACUGAUUUUCAUACCAUGGACAUAUGCUGACCUGGGAGUAUGGUAACCUGGAGACACGCUAUCCAUGCAGAAAAAUUCCUCAAAGAUGAGCAAAGUAAGAAAAGUACGCAGCUGAUGGACAGAUUAAAGAUGCCGCACCUGAGGGUGUAUGAGAAUCAGAACAGAGGCCAGGGCCAAGGCCGACGAGGACAUGGACGAAGGGGAAGAGGACGAGGAAGGAGUGACGCUUGUUUCAAAUGUGGCAAAAUGGGACAUUGGGCAAAAGAUUGCCCCAAGAAUCACGAGCAGGCUGACUGACUAGACGGGGUGUUGACGCCAGCUCGGGAUGGAGCUGGCUUGAACACUGAACUGGAGACGACAGAGCAUUCUUCACAUCAGUUACGUAAGAGCACCCACAUUGACACAAAAGCGCAUGUGAACACACGACACACAAACAACUGCCUGCAUUAGACACCGCCACACACACAGACAUUGAUAAGUGAGGCUAUCUCUUACCUUGAGCACACACAAGCCACUGAUGACAAAGCCCCAGCAGAGAUAUACACCGAAUAUACACAUGAUGCAUACAAACGCAUGCCUGAACACGCAAUCAAUGUUGCUGGAAAAGAUAUUGUUUUUCUUGUGGAUUCUGGUGCGACUGAUUCUGUCAUCAGAGUUUGCAGUCCUUCCAAAGAUCAGUGGCAGAUUUGUGAGGACAGUAGGAGUUUCAGGAACACCCCUGGUGGAAAGGUAUACCACACCAUUGUCAUGCAGUGAAUAAACUGAGAAACACUUUAAACAUUCAUUCUUGUUAUCUAAACGAUGCCCGAUCAAUAUUAUCGGAAGUGAUAUGAUGAUAAGAUUAGGAAUUAUCCUGAUUUCCACUCCCGAGGGCAUCAUUGUAGCCAGAUUUUCUGACACUGCGUCACAUUAUGUGAAACACAGCAGCAGGGAGCUGAUGUACUCAUAUCAAUGGAAGCUGCUUCACACAGCUGCUGACUCUGUAAAUAACACUCUGAUUGCCGAGGUCAAAGCUCUCUUUCCAGACAACUAUACACGAAUAGACAUUAAGUCGCCACAGGAGUUACACUGCACAUCACGUGUACAUCUUGGGGUUGAUAAAUAUUUUGAGGACACAUGGUUCAGGCAAGACAAAGAGAGAAACACACUAAAGCUGGCCUGGUUGUACUGGAAUGAUAAUAAAUGCAGUAGCUUUCAAUGAUUCACUUUGUAAAGCUUUGUUUCAAGUCCCUAACACAUAUCCUCAUGUCCCCCUGGUCAAAGCAAAGCAGGAUACAUGGGAAUGCUUGGGCCCUUGGACCAGACGUUGUGAGGAAGCUGCUGGUUGGGUAAAGACAUCAGACUCAGGUGUGGAUUUUCACAACCACCUUCAAGCAUUCCGGAAAAGAUUUUUAGCUAUAGCAAUAGAGCAGGAGUGAUUAUUCCAUGUGCAAGAUCUCCAGUCUGGACACCUAUUUUCCCCAUGCGAAAACUCCAGGACGCCGGAGAGCCACAACAUUGGAGAUUCGUGCAAGACUUGCAGGCGCAGCAGACGGUGAACCUCACGAUUGUGUGGCAGUGAUAACAGAGACUUGCUCUCCCAGACCAGAUCUGCAUGAAACACCAUUGAUCAAUCCAGAGCUGGAGCUGUUUGUUGACGGUUCAGCAUCACAAGAUCCAGCAACUGGUGAAGGAAGCCAUUCCAAGGGCUGCAGAGAGGAAACUGCAUGACUUGGAGCCUGGUGAUUGGAUUGUGGUGAAAGAACACAGACGAAAGAACUGGCAGGCUCGCAGGUGGAAUGGUCCCUACCAGAUAUUGCU
RNA transcript from Siniperca chuatsi (mandarin fish), 3323 nucleotides. It is a transcript of the gene named solute carrier family 27 member 6, with no coding region annotated. The transcript has 9 exons. Lineage: Eukaryota; Metazoa; Chordata; Actinopteri; Centrarchiformes; Sinipercidae. The record is from RefSeq and is a predicted model, not a curated record.